RNAcentral lists this ribosomal RNA (596 nucleotides) under uncultured soil bacterium. RNAcentral describes it as "bacterial SSU rRNA". It matches the Rfam family "Bacterial small subunit ribosomal RNA", at positions 286 to 898 of the family's 1533-position model. The record is from RNAcentral.
GCUGGUCCGAGAGGACGAUCAGCCACACUGGAACUGAGACACGGUCCAGACUCCUACGGGAGGCAGCAGUGAGGAAUUUUCCGCAAUGGGCGAAAGCCUGACGGAGCGACGCCGCGUGUGGGAUGAAGGCCUUCGGGUCGUAAACCACUGUCGAAGGGGACGAUAAUGACGGUACCUGAUGAAUAAGCCACGGCUAACUACGUGCCAGCAGCCGCGGUAAUACGUAGGUGACGAGCGUUGUCCGGAUUUACUGGGCGUAAAGAGCGCGCAGGCGGUCGUACAAGUCGAGUGUGAAAUCCCCCGGCUCAACUGGGGAACGUCGCUCGAUACUGUUCGACUUGAAGGCGGGAGAGGGAAGCGGAAUUCCCGGCGUAGUGGUGAAAUGCGUAGAUAUCGGGAGGAACACCAGUGGCGAAGGCGGCUUUCUGGCCCGUUCUUGACGCUGAGGCGCGAAAGCUAGGGUAGCAAACGGGAUUAGAUACCCCGGUAGUCCUAGCCGUAAACGAUGGACACUAGGUGUUGGUGGUAUCAACCCCGCCAGUGCCGAAGCUAACGCAUUAAGUGUCCCGCCUGGGGAGUACGGCCGCAAGGCUAAA